This 663-nucleotide ribosomal RNA is filed under the name Enterobacter cloacae. RNAcentral's name for it is "partial 23S ribosomal RNA". It matches the Rfam family "Bacterial large subunit ribosomal RNA", at positions 2259 to 2916 of the family's 2925-position model. Lineage: Bacteria; Pseudomonadati; Pseudomonadota; Gammaproteobacteria; Enterobacterales; Enterobacteriaceae. RNAcentral also lists the same sequence under 1 other name. The record is from RNAcentral.
UGGUGGGUAGUUUGACUGGGGCGGUCUCCUCCCAAAGAGUAACGGAGGAGCACGAAGGUUAGCUAAUCCUGGUCGGACAUCAGGAGGUUAGUGCAAUGGCAUAAGCUAGCUUGACUGCGAGAGUGACGGCUCGAGCAGGUGCGAAAGCAGGUCAUAGUGAUCCGGUGGUUCUGAAUGGAAGGGCCAUCGCUCAACGGAUAAAAGGUACUCCGGGGAUAACAGGCUGAUACCGCCCAAGAGUUCAUAUCGACGGCGGUGUUUGGCACCUCGAUGUCGGCUCAUCACAUCCUGGGGCUGAAGUAGGUCCCAAGGGUAUGGCUGUUCGCCAUUUAAAGUGGUACGCGAGCUGGGUUUAGAACGUCGUGAGACAGUUCGGUCCCUAUCUGCCGUGGGCGCUGGAGAAUUGAGGGGGGCUGCUCCUAGUACGAGAGGACCGGAGUGGACGCAUCACUGGUGUUCGGGUUGUCAUGCCAAUGGCACUGCCCGGUAGCUAAAUGCGGAAGAGAUAAGUGCUGAAAGCAUCUAAGCACGAAACUUGCCCCGAGAUGAGUUCUCCCUGAGACUUUAAGUCUCCUGAAGGAACGUUGAAGACGACGACGUUGAUAGGUCGGGUGUGUAAGCGCAGCGAUGCGUUGAGCUAACCGAUACUAAUGAACCGUGAGG